CAGUACAAGCAGUACUCUAAGGUGAAACCGCGAAUGGCUCAGUAAAUCAGUUAGGGUUCAUUUGAUGAAUUUGCAGAAAACUUGGAUAACUGUGGCAAUUCCAGAGCUAAUACAUGCAUUAAAGUCCCGACCUUGCGGAAGGGACGCUUUUAUUAGAAUACAGGACCAAUCAUUGGAUGGUCAGAUGAUGUCUCUCCGAAAACAAAAGGUGGCGAAUCUGAAUAACAUAGAACAGAUCGCACGGCCAUAGAGCGUGGCGACGCAUCUUCCAAGCGCCUGCUCUAUCAACUAUGAUGGCCGAUUAUACGCCUACCAUGGUGUUAACGGGUGACGGGGAAUCAGGGUUCGAUUCCGGAGAGGGAGCCUGAGAGACUGCUACCACAUCCAAGGAAGGCAGCAGGCGCGCAAAUUACCCACUCCCGGCACGGGGAGGUAGUGACGAAGUAUAACGAUACGGGACUCCCAUCCGAGGCCCCGUGAUCGGAAUGAGACCGGUUCAGAGAACUGGUGAGAGUAUCCAUUGGAGG
RNAcentral lists this ribosomal RNA (527 nucleotides) under Spiralizoros magnicaudelli. RNAcentral describes it as "bacterial SSU rRNA". It matches the Rfam family "Eukaryotic small subunit ribosomal RNA", at positions 61 to 554 of the family's 1831-position model. The record is from RNAcentral. Lineage: Eukaryota; Metazoa; Arthropoda; Insecta; Zoraptera; Spiralizoridae.